RNAcentral lists this ribosomal RNA (253 nucleotides) under uncultured bacterium. RNAcentral's name for it is "partial 16S ribosomal RNA". It matches the Rfam family "Bacterial small subunit ribosomal RNA", at positions 524 to 776 of the family's 1533-position model. The record is from RNAcentral.
UACGAAGGGUGCAAGCGUUACUCGGAAUUACUGGGCGUAAAGCGUGCGUAGGUGGUUCGUUAAGUCUGAUGUGAAAGCCCUGGGCUCAACCUGGGAAUGGCACUGGAUACUGGCGACCUAGAGUGCGGUAGAGGGGUGUGGAAUUCCCGGUGUAGCAGUGAAAUGCGUAGAUAUCGGGAGGAACAUCUGUGGCGAAGGCGACACCCUGGACCAGCACUGACACUGAGGCACGAAAGCGUGGGGAGCAAACAGG